UUUGUGUCUUCACUGCUCCGCCCUGGGAAAUACUUUUGUUUGUAAACGUCAUGCUCUAGGUGUGUAGGAAGACCCACAUUCUGAAGGAUCGUAUCCGAGAUGUCACAUUGCAUUUAGUCAUCAUGUGUCCUUAGUCUCCUCUGUUUAUCUAGAUGGUUUAUUUGAAUCCACAUCCAAAAAGAGCCACAUGUUAC
This is a non-coding RNA of Urocitellus parryii (Arctic ground squirrel), 194 nucleotides long. NCBI's taxonomy places the organism in Eukaryota, Metazoa, Chordata, Mammalia, Rodentia, Sciuridae. The record is from RefSeq and is a predicted model, not a curated record.